CCUACGGGUGGCAGCAGUGAGGAAUAUUGGUCAAUGGACGGAAGGCUGAACCAGCCAAGCCGCGGGAAGGACGAAGGUGCCAAGCAUUGUAAACUUCUUUUGUCAAGGGACAAAAUCAGGCGCGAGAGCCUUACCGAGGGUACGUGAAGAAAAAGCAUCGGCUAACUCCGUGCCAGCAGCCGCGGUAAUACGGAGGAUGCGAGCGUUAUCCGGAUUUACUGGGGGUAAAGGGAGCGUAGACGGCGGGGCAAGCCAGAUGUGAAAGCCCGGGGCUCAACCCCGGGACUGCAUUUGGAACUGGGCUGCUCGCGUGUCGGAGAGGCAGGCGGACUUCCUCGUGUAGCGG
Molecule: ribosomal RNA, 346 nt
Filed under: uncultured bacterium
Lineage: Bacteria
Description: partial 16S ribosomal RNA
Rfam family: Bacterial small subunit ribosomal RNA
Source: RNAcentral